Molecule: ribosomal RNA, 569 nt
Filed under: uncultured bacterium
Lineage: Bacteria
Description: bacterial SSU rRNA
Rfam family: Bacterial small subunit ribosomal RNA
Source: RNAcentral
AGAGUUUGAUCCUGGCUCAGAAUGAACGCUGGCGGCGUGCUUAACACAUGCAAGUCGAGCGAGGCCUGGGGGGCAACUCCCAGAGUCGAGCGGCGGACGGGUGAGUAACACGUGGGUAACCUGCCCGGAAGUGGGGAAUACCUCGGGGAAACUCGAGCUAAUUCCGCAUAACAUCUUCGGGACGAGAGUCCUGUUGAUCAAAGCGGGGUCGCAAGAUCUCGCGCUACCGGAUGGGCCCGCGCCCGAUUAGCUAGUUGGUGAGGUAACGGCUCACCAAGGCUUCGAUCGGUAGCCGGCCUGAGAGGGUGAUCGGCCACACCGGAACUGAGACACGGUCCGGACUCCUACGGGAGGCAGCAGUGGGGAAUCUUGCGCAAUGGGCGAAAGCCUGACGCAGCAACGCCGCGUGGAGGAUGAAGGCCCUUGGGUUGUAAACUCCUGUCGGCUGGGAAGAAAUCGUGCGGUGCUCAUACCACCGCGCGUUGACUGUACCAGCAAAGGAAGCCCCGGCUAACUCUGUGCCAGCAGCCGCGGUAAUACAGAGGGGGCCAGCGUUAUUCGGAAUUAUU